RNAcentral lists this ribosomal RNA (497 nucleotides) under uncultured bacterium. RNAcentral describes it as "partial 16S ribosomal RNA". It matches the Rfam family "Bacterial small subunit ribosomal RNA", at positions 28 to 507 of the family's 1533-position model. The record is from RNAcentral.
GAUGAACGCUGGCGGCGUGCCUAAUACAUGCAAGUCGAGCGAACAGACGAGGAGCUUGCUCCUCUGACGUUAGCGGCGGACGGGUGAGUAACACGUGGAUAACCUACCUAUAAGACUGGGAUAACUUCGGGAAACCGGAGCUAAUACCGGAUAACAUGUUGAACCGCAUGGUUUAACAGUGAAAGACGGUCUUGCUGUCACUUAUAGAUGGAUCCGCGCCGCAUUAGCUAGUUGGUAAGGUAACGGCUUACCAAGGCAACGAUGCGUAGCCGACCUGAGAGGGUGAUCGGCCACACUGGAACUGAGACACGGUCCAGACUCCUACGGGAGGCAGCAGUAGGGAAUCUUCCGCAAUGGGCGAAAGCCUGACGGAGCAACGCCGCGUGAGUGAAGAAGGCCUUCGGAUCGUAAAACUCUGUUAUUAGGGAAGAACAAAUGUGUAAGUAACUAUGCACGUCUUGACGGUACCUAAUCAGAAAGCCACGGCUAACUACGUG